Molecule: long non-coding RNA, 1303 nt
Organism: Homo sapiens (human)
Lineage: Eukaryota; Metazoa; Chordata; Mammalia; Primates; Hominidae
Source: Ensembl
AGAAAGGGCUGCUUUCCCUUCAGCGUGCGCCCCUCCCUAAUGAUCACUCAGCCACCCUGAGCAGUGAGUCUCAUUCUUUUCAGUAAAUCCUCUCGCUGCGUGGUGAGAAAACUGAUGCCUGGAGUCUGUGACCUGCCUAGGACCACAGAACUCGGUAGUAGGAAAAAUCGUAUUUUUAAAUCCAGUCCUGAGUGGGAAGAUUUGAGGAAAUAGCUAAUAUUGAGGAGGGGGGUGUUGUUGGGAGUGGCACCACCCCCAUCUCUCCCUGCUCUUCACAGAGAAUUCCGUCUACCAGGAACGGCAGGAAUGCUAUGCGUUCAAUGGGACUCAGCGCGUUGUGGACGGGCUCAUCUACAACCGGGAGGAAUACGUGCAUUUUGACAGCGCAGUGGGGGAGUUCCUAGCAGUGAUGGAGCUGGGGCGGCCCAUAGGCGAGUACUUCAAUAGCCAGAAGGACUUUAUGGAACGGAAGCGAGCCGAGGUGGACAAGGUGUGCAGACACAAGUACGAGCUGAUGGAGCCACUCAUCCGGCAGCGCCGAGGAGACGUAACCAUAACUGCUGUUAGGGGGUGUUGGACGACGAUUCUUUCUGGCUACUUCCUGCUGAAAAGGGGCGUCGUGUCGGGGGGCUGCAGUUGGGGCUCCUCCUGAGGUUGAUCUAAGGCUUCUUGGAAGAAUGGCAUGUCCAUGUGUGGCUUUGUUUGCAGCACCAUUUGAAGUUUGAUUGCUUCUAGGCAAAAAGAGAUAAAUUUUACAAGAAGGUUUAAAAUAUAGGGUUACCAUAUGAGUAUUAAGAUUACCACCUAUAGACUGUAACUAUGGCAGUAGAGUUUGAUACCUGUUACACCAAUGGAUUGUAAUACUGGUUUGUCUCCACUAGAUGUCGCUGUACAUUACCAGAAACGUUAAUAUAAAAGCAUCAUUUCCUUUGAGAAAACAUGUUUCCCCCUUGACUUGCUAUUAGGGCAUAAUUUUUGGUUUAGGCCAUUCUUUAUAACUUAUGAUAUGAUUGGGAGAAAAACGUUAUUGGGUGGCUAAAAUAACUUUGGUGUUAAUCUUGGCAAUUCCUUUCCUUUAAUUAUUAAAUUUCUUAAUUAUUAAAUUCUUUCAUGACUUUCACAGACCCUCUUACAAUGUACUCAACUUUCUGACUUGUCUUAAACAACCAGUCAUUUCCUUUUAGGACAAGAAUUUACUAUACAAGAUCCUUUCUUAUAUAAAAUCCCUUUAUUUGUAACCUUCUUUCCAUAGCUUAGAGUGCACCAUUUACCAAUCUUCAAUAAAAAAGUCCUAUCAAACUUA